RNA transcript from Triticum aestivum (bread wheat), 1769 nucleotides. It is a transcript of the gene named 1-acyl-sn-glycerol-3-phosphate acyltransferase LPAT1, chloroplastic, with no coding region annotated. The record is from RefSeq and is a predicted model, not a curated record. Lineage: Eukaryota; Viridiplantae; Streptophyta; Magnoliopsida; Poales; Poaceae. The transcript is spliced from 6 exons.
AUAAUGUAGAGAGAAACUUGGCAAACACCGCCGAAACAAACCACCGCCGGCAGCCGCCGGCCACCGUUUCGCCCGAGUCUAGUCCCGUCCGCGCGCGCAUGCGCAUCCAGUCAGCGCGCGGCCGCUUCCACCCUCGCGAUUUUAUCCACUCUCACCAGUCACCAACGGAGCUUCGCUCAGCGCAGCGCCAUCCCCCCGCCUCCGGAUUCUCUCGCCCCAGGCUGAACAACCCCACGUUCGCCACGUGCGCUCGCGCCACCGCCUCGCCGCCUCAGCCAAUGAUCUAGAGCCUGGCGGAUCUGACGCGGCGCCUCCGCCCCGCCUCCGCGGUCCGGUCACCGUCUCGCUCGCCGAGGCGCGCGCCUCUCCGCCUGUUCGUGCCGCCCUCGCCGGCCUAUGGGGACGCUCGUCUGGCUGAGGCCGAUCGCGGCCCCGGCCGUCCCCGCCGGUCCCUCCGCCGCGCACGUGGUGGCUGGCGGUAGUGUAAAAGGCCGGCCUCGGCGGGUGUCCGUGGCGUCCCGCUGCCCGAAUCCGCGCGUGCUCCAGGCGGGGAGGUGCCGGUGGCUGGUUGUCAGGUCGGGUGUCACCGCCGCUGCAGCCGCCGCAGAUGACCCCGAGGAUUCGUCGGGGCUAUCAGAUCUGCAAGUGGCUUCGAGGAUCAGAGGGGUCUUCUUCUACACGGUGACUGCUGUUGCGGCGAUCUUUUUGUUUAUAGCUAUGGUUGUGGUUCAUCCACUUGUGCUCUUGUUUGACCGACACCGUAGGAGAGCUCAGCACUAUAUUGCAAAGAUUUGGGCUACUUUGACAGUUUCUAUGUUCUACAAGCUUGAAGUCGAGGGAAUGGAGAAUCUACCUCCCAAUAGUAGCGCUGCUGUCUAUGUUGCUAACCAUCAGAGCUUCUUGGAUAUCUAUACCCUUCUAACUCUAGGAAGGUGCUUCAAAUUUAUAAGCAAGACUAGUAUCUUUAUGCUUCCAAUUAUUGGGUGGGCAAUGUAUCUCUUGGGUGUCAUUCCUUUACGACGUAUGGACAGCAGGAGCCAGCUGGACUGUCUUAAACGGUGUGUGGAUUUGUUGAAAAGGGGGGCGUCUGUAUUUUUCUUUCCAGAGGGGACUCGAAGUAAAGAUGGAAAGCUAGGUAUAUUCAAGCGAGGAGCAUUUAGUGUCGCUGUGAAGACUGGCGUUCCUGUCAUACCUAUUACCCUUCUCGGGACAGGGAAACUGAUGCCUCCUGGAAUGGAAAGCAACCUUAAUUCAGGUGCAGUAAAAGUCAUUAUUCACCGUCCAAUUGAAGGGAAUGAUGCAGAGAAAUUAUGUUCCGACGCAAGGAAUGUGAUAGCAGACACUCUUCUUCUACAUGGUUAUGGAGUGCACUAAUGGAAGUGGGUGAUUUUUCCUAUUCAAUAGAUCAUGGAACCUAGUUUGCCGAAACGUGUCGACUCAAGGCAAAGAUAGUUUACAGCUGGUAGAGGUGCUGAGUGCAGAGGCAUUCUUUUUGCUGCAGAAUGAAGACAGGGGCUGGAGGAAGAAUAAGAAUGACUUGUGCUUGUUAGUUGCUGUUUGUGACUUGCAAAGUAGGCUCUGAUGUAGUUUAUCUUUCACAAAUUGUAGUUUGCAUUUUUUGCCUUGUUCUAUAGUAUUUAACAUGAAAAGAUGUGAUGUGGCGAAGAACUCAUGUGGACUUAGAUGAUCUUGCCAUAUUCUACACACUGGGAAGAUAAGAUUUUUUUUUGUGGGUGAGAAGAUAAUAAAGUUGGCACGUGAUUUCCUUU